AACGAACGCUGGCGGCAGGCUUAACACAUGCAAGUCGAACGGUUGUAGCAAUACAGCAGUGGCAGACGGGUGAGUAACACGUGGGAACCUUCCUAGGGGUACGGAACAACUCAGGGAAACUUGAGCUAAUACCGUAUACGUCCGUGAGGAGAAAGAUUUAUCGCCCUUAGACGGGCCCGCGUCGGAUUAGCUAGUUGGUGGGGUAACGGCCUACCAAGGCGACGAUCCGUAGCUGAUCUUAGAGGAUGAUCAGCCACACUGGGACUGAGACACGGCCCAGACUCCUACGGGAGGCAGCAGUGGGGAAUCUUGGACAAUGGGCGCAAGCCUGAUCCAGCCAUGCCGCGUGAGUGAAGAAGGUCUUCGGAUUGUAAAGCUCUUUUACCAGGGACGAUAAUGACGGUACCUGGAGAAUAAGCCCCGGCAAACUUCGUG
Molecule: ribosomal RNA, 435 nt
Filed under: uncultured bacterium
Lineage: Bacteria
Description: bacterial SSU rRNA
Rfam family: Bacterial small subunit ribosomal RNA
Source: RNAcentral